Molecule: ribosomal RNA, 298 nt
Filed under: uncultured bacterium
Lineage: Bacteria
Description: partial 16S ribosomal RNA
Rfam family: Bacterial small subunit ribosomal RNA
Source: RNAcentral
UGUACCUACGGGAGGCAGCAGUAGGGAAUAUUGCUCAAUGGGGGAAACCCUGAAGCAGCAACGCCGCGUGGAGGAUGAAGGUUUUCGGAUUGUAAACUCCUUUUGUUAGAGAAGAUAAUGACGGUAUCUAACGAAUAAGCACCGGCCAACUCCGUGCCAGCAGCCGCGGUAAUACGGAGGGUGCAAGCGUUACUCGGAAUCACUGGGCGUAAAGAGCGCGUAGGCGGGAUAGCAAGUACGAUGUGAAAUCCUAUUGUUUAACCAUAGAACUGCAUUUGAAACUGUUAUUCUAGAGUAU